UUUAAGUUAAGCUAAUCUCCAAGCUAUUGGGCCCAUAACCCAAAAAUGAUACAAAGUUUGGUG
This 63-nucleotide transfer RNA is filed under the name Physella acuta. RNAcentral describes it as "transfert RNA-M(ATG)". Lineage: Eukaryota; Metazoa; Mollusca; Gastropoda; Physidae. The record is from RNAcentral.